Monodelphis domestica (gray short-tailed opossum) is the source of this 1803-nucleotide non-coding RNA. The record is from RefSeq and is a predicted model, not a curated record. Lineage: Eukaryota; Metazoa; Chordata; Mammalia; Didelphimorphia; Didelphidae.
CAGAGCUGGGAUGCUCUGGGGUCUCCUUUUCCACCACCACCACCAAGACCAUGCCGGAAGCCGGUGUUGUUUUUUCCCAUCAUUCAGGGGAGGGCGUCCUGCAGCCCAGAGAGAUUCAAUAAUUGGCUCCACCUUGCACAGCACAGCAGACACUUCGGAACAUAGGAUCAGUGGGCUGGAAGGGGAGGUCAUCAUUAUUUUGCAGAUGAAUAAACUGAGGCUCAGCAGUUGAAGUAUCUUCCCCCAAGUCAGGCAGGGAGCUGGCCGGACACACUUUGAUAAGCAGAUCAGCCGCCUUGCUUCAGGACUGCAUUCUGAUCAAAGCCCCAACAUUUUUCAUCAUCAGAUGUCACAAGGCUGGGUUUUGUUUCCCUAUUACUUCUCAAGGCUGGUGCACGCAGAAUGAAAUCUGUUGACAGCAGCUGCUUGUAAUGCUCCGAAACUGGUAAUUAUGCGUGUGACAGAGGCUGCAUUGGCUCUCCCUGUGCCUAAGUGUGACCGGCAGCCACGUCAAUCAGACCAUGUGAGCUGCUGACAGUCCGUGUUUACCCAGUGGCAGAUGUGCCCUGACAAAGGAAUGAAAGGAAGGCUGGGGCUCUGGGGGCUCCGGGAGGGAGGAGACCAUGUCCUUCAGCUGAUAGAAGACGCCCCUAAUUGGGAAAAAAAAAGAUCUCUACAAUGUCUCUGAAAAGUGGUCAUUGAGCUUCUGAGUGAAGAUUUCUCAUGAAGGAAAACUUGCUGCUUCUGUUUCCAUGCUUUCUCGGGCAUGGGCAAGCUCAGAAUCACAACCGGAAGAGGAAUGAAGAAUGACCAAAGUGAAGACUCCAGAAAGGAACUCACCAGUGGGAAAUGGGGCUGGAAUGGUCAGGAGGUAUUCCAGCCUCGAGUCAUACAACUAUGAAUUGGCAGCUCCCCCAAACCUGUAAGACAGCAUGAGGACCCAAGCCCCAGUGGGGAAGGAUCACUGGACUGGGAACUCACAGAAUCAUCCGUUCUGCUUGCUUCAUUUUUUACAGAUGAGGAAACUGAGGUUUGUUCAUGGAAAUCAGAUCCCACAGAAGAAAGCUGAAAGUAGAAUGGAAGGGACCUACUGGAAAUUCCAUUCUCUUUUAGCUUUCUAAUUAAAGCCACUAUUACAAAUGUCUAAUUUCAGCCAUGUAAGUCCCCUUUCCAGUCCUAUUUGUCUCCAUGGAUAGAAUUUGACUUGCUAUGGCUAAAACACUAUUUGUCAUGGUCCACCCUCUGGUGAUGAGUCUCUUUAGAUUUUUGUAGAGGAAGAACUAAUCUCUGAAGUUCAACUCUCUUAUUUUAUAGAUAAGGAAACUUAAACCUUCAGAUGUUUAGUAACUUGUCCAAGGUCAGGCACGUAGUAAGAAGCAUCAGAGGAGUUUUCAAGUCUCUAUCUUUCUCUGUGUACCCUAUUAGCUUAGCUAAGUUGGUCUUUAGAGGAUAGCUAGAGCUUCUGAUAUUUACUACUGUUGCUUCAUCUCUCAACCUGUUUUGUCAUCUGUUCAAUGGGGAUAAUAUAUAUAAUAUUUAACUAAUAGGAGCCAACUGGAUAGCUCAGUGGAUUGAGAGCCAAGCCUAGAGAUGGGAGGUCCUAGGUUCAAAUCUGACCUCAGAUACUUCCUAGCUGUGUGACCCUGGGCAAGUCACUUAACCCCCAUUGUCUAGCCCUUACUACUCUUCUGCCUUGGAACUAAUACACAAUAUUGAUUCUAAGAUGGAAGGUAAGGUUAAAAAAAAAAACUCAACAGGGUUGUUAUGAUUAGAUUACACAAUAUAUGUAGUGAUAUUUGCAAA